Molecule: long non-coding RNA, 6009 nt
Organism: Gasterosteus aculeatus aculeatus (three-spined stickleback)
Lineage: Eukaryota; Metazoa; Chordata; Actinopteri; Perciformes; Gasterosteidae
Source: Ensembl
CGGCCGUAAAAUAAAGUGUUACCAUUCAGCUAUGCGCAGUAAUUCAUUGAUUCAAUCUGAUCUACGAACAUAUCAAAAGGGGACGGAAAAGAUUAGCUCAUAGUUCCAUUUUAUUUUCAGUGUUACGCAACAUUAGAAGUAUAAAUAUCUGUUUUAAUAUACAACAUCUAUGACACCCAUAGAGCUUUCCUUGGGCAAAAUACAAAACUCAAAACACUUUUAUUGCACAUGUUCUAAAAGACAAACCAUCGAGAGCGAGUUCAUCUAAUACUAGUUUUGCACGGAGGAAGAAAAAAAAAAAGGGAACUAAAAAGUCGAGCAGAGAAAGAAGGUGUGACAUCGAUCACAGCACGAACACGUGUUCUUACGCCAUGAACAGCAGCUCUGACACACUACACAGAUUUGGCAAAUAACGAUACACAAAAUAUACAUCCAUGAUGCUUUGUAAACAAACAUUGAAUGUGCUUUGCUGAUUUUAAAUGUCAGUCGUCACCGGAGGAAAAAAAAAAAAAAGUUUUAUUUCAUCAAAUGGAACUCGUUUAAAUCUGACAGACGAGACGGGAAUUCAUGAAUCAUUUCAGUUCCGCUUCCUUCUCCUCGCCCUCCCCAACCGAAUACCGGGCAAACAUUAAGGUGCAUUUGUUCUCACACACACUACAUUAGCGACGCAGCAACAAAAUAUCUAAUGCAAAGAUCCUUUUCAUCGUUAAAAUCUCGUGAAGAUAAACUUCAGACUCCGUCACGUUGGGCCGGUCGCGAUGAGAGUACACGUGGUCGUUUUAACACAACAGAGCGAAUACUGCAUGACACACUCCGUGUCUCCUCCUCCUUCAGGGCUUCUUAUUCAUCUACAGGAUGAAUGUGUGUGUGUGAUUUAGCAGAAAGUGAAUGCAGAUACAUGACAGCCUACAUUAGUACCAAGAGUUUAACAUUGAGUGCGUGUGAAAUCUUUGAUUCCUCUGAGACACCAAAAACACUCGACCAGCACGAAGACCCGAAACCCCCCCCGAGAAAUCUUCUGAAGCCCCCUCUGUGCUUACCGACUGCAGUGAUACCGGAUAGACUUUCCUGGGGGGGGUGGGGGGGGCGAACGGCCCUCACAGUUUUGUUGAUUAAUGCUACAUUUUCAGAAACAGUCCAUUUGCCCCCGACCCCCCCCCCCCCUACCACCCCCCGUGUGGAAAGUCACAAAAAACAGGAGGCCUCCGAUGAAAUGCAUCAUGGGAGCUCACUUUAAACCACAAAAAUACCGAGCUCAUAAUAUUGAUCUACACCUUUAGUACAAACGACAAUCACGUGAGUCCCAGUUUAACAAUGUUCUCAUAUUUACACCAUAUUGCAUAAAAAUCCCCAAAAUAUAUGUACACAUGUCAGAGGAAUGUAAAUGAACACCACAGCUUGCUCGGAACAGCAAGUUUUUUUUUUAAUUUCCCAUAAUUCUAAGGCCCCUUCACUGAUUUAGGAUUUCCCAGAACUGUGAGAUGAUUUCCCUAUUUUUAGUUUUCGGGGGGAAAGUCGGGCGUGUUUUUAUUCCCUCGGUGCGUCGACAAGAGAAUCCCACGGAACCACGAGGCCCCCUGCAGGUUCCUCCUGUGUUCCAAGUGAGAGUGCAAUCAAGCCGCUUUAAUAUGGCACGGACUGUACGGCCAAGGGGCGGAGCCUAGCGAGCCCCGGCCCCGCCCCCUCCUCACGCGCGCUGACACGCUGAUUGCACGAAGCAGAAACAAAAACCAACCUGACGUGAAAAGUAAAAAAAAAAAACACCAGAAAUGAUCAGCAAACGACUUCCUACAUUCGGACGUAAGCGCGCACGUCUCCAACCAGCAUGCAACAGCUCGCCCCCGCUCCCCGAAAUCAAGAAGGCGUGAUGCUGCUUCCACAAACCCGCCCCCCCCCUUUAUUUUUUAUGGCAGGAACUACGCGGCGACUCUUUCUGCUGCUUCCUGCCGGCGUCCCGCUCGGCGGCGGCGGCUCUGGUCGCGUCUCUUUUAGUGUUUUUCUGCGCGGGCGCGCCCUCUUGAACGGCCUCUUUUUUCUUCCUCUCCGGCUCCCUCUUGCCGGAGGACGCCACCUGUUUGUCCGGGGGAGGGGGCGGCGGCGGCGGUGGCGCCCCCCCACCGCGACCGUCGGGUUUGGCCGUUUCGGCCUUGGGGCCCUCCUUGGUCGCUCUGAACGCAGCGCCAGGGGCCCGGCCCGGGGCGGCCUCACCGCUCGGCGGUUCUUUCCUCGCCGCGUCGGGCUGGGGGGAGGGGGCGUCCGCGGCGACAUCUUUUGGUCUCGGGCCGUGGUGGUUUCUCCCGGCGGGCGCUGUGGUCUUGGGGGACGGCUCCUUGUGUUUGGGAUCGAGGCAUUGUUUACCAGCUGGUGAGGUCUUCCCAGCCGGCGAGGGAGGGGCGGCCUUGGCGGGGGGCGGCGGUUUGGGCGGCGGCGCGGAGCCUCUGGGCGGGGCUUCUCUCGGGGAAUGCGGCGGCUGAACGGAGGCGUCCGGGGUCGUUUGAGCGGGGGCUUCUCUCUGCUUGGCGUUGGGACUGCCCCCGGCUGGGGGGCCGGGAGGAGCCGCGCCGCGAGACUUCACUUCCGGCGAUUUUGUGUGCGUCUUCGUGGCGGCGGGUGCCGCGGGCCGCGGGUCGGGCCUGCACUUACUUUUGGCCAGCUGAGCGUCUUCCUUGGCGGCGGCCGGGGGCGGGCACUUGGGUUUUGCGGCGCUCUCCUUCACGCUGGCGAUUUCUUCUGCACCAGAGGGUUUGUUUCGGGCUUUUUCGGCUGGAUGGAUUCUCGCAGCGACGAUCUUUUUCGUCUCCGUCGGUUCCUCUUCCUCGCCAACGCCGUCGUCCUUCUCCCUCAGCGUCCCGUUAUUCAAAGAGGCGACCAUGUUUGCUUCAGAAGCGCCUCUCUGCUGCUGCACUUUCAGGACAGCAACACGCGCGUUGACCUCCUCCUUCGAGCCGCCGCCAGCGACUGCUUUCACCGCCGACCCGACGGCGGCGGAUCUCUCCCGCCGGUCCCGAUUCAAACUGCUUUUACCUUCUUCCACAGAACCAGACGCCGGUGUUGCGAGAGAAACCGGCGGUUUCUGGGACGAAGGGGCGUUCUCAGGAACGGGCGAAGAGCUUCGCGCAGGAGGCGCGUUCCCCGCGCUGUGCCUCGGCGGCGGCGGCGCGGCUCGCGGUUCGCUGGGCGCCGCCGCGGCCGGAGCCUCCCGGGUUUUCCCGCCCGGCUCCGCUUCCUCCUCCUGAUCCUCGUUGCUGACUUCCCGUAUGGAGGGCGUUUUCCCGCAGGAGGAGAAGUGGCAGCCGUGUCGGGGGCCCCGGUGGUCGUGAGCCAGCGGGGAGCCGGACUUCACAGGCGGUUUGAGGCCUCCGCUCGACGCCUCCGCUUUGCCGCUUUGAGCCUUCAGCGACUCGCCGUGUCCGUCUUGUGCUUUGCCGUUUUUAACCUCUGUGUCACUCGAUUGACCUUUGGAGGCAAAAAUGCCAUUUAGAGAAGAAACGGCUUCAGGGCUCGCGCAGGAAGUCGAGGGGCUCUUUAGCGCGUCUGCGGUUUUCAUCAUUUGUUUCUCGGCAGACGUCUGGAGCCAAAUCGGAGGACUCGGAGAAACGUUGUCGCUCGGAUUCUCCGCCAUUUUGGAUAAGCAGGUUUCCGUUUUAGAAACUCUGGGCCCCGAGAGCAGGCCGAUGUCCAGAGUGCCCUCCAGGGGUCUGAGCGAGGACACGUGGCGUCCUUCAGGUUUAUACUCCGACGACGUCUUCCGGAGCGCAGACUCGGCGGAGGAGAUGAGCUGGAGUUUCUCCACGGCGCUCUCGCCUCUGCCCGAGAAGAGCUUCGGGGACAAACCCUCGGGGCUGGAGUGAACGCUGGCGAGCCCCGCCUUCAUGUGCUCGUGAGCCGCGGCCGUGUCCAGCUGCAGGCUCUUGGACCUGGUGGAGCCAAAGUGCGGGUUCUCGUGCACGCCGGGGGACAACCGGCACAUGCAGUCUUCUCGCUCUUCGAAAGACAGCCGCUUCCUGGUGAACUCGACGUUGGGGGCUUUGAAGUCCAGUCUGUCGGGCUUCACGUUGUCCCUGGCCGUCCUGCAGUGAGCGGCGCAGAGGGCCGACCGGAGUGCCGCGUCGCUCUCGGGGCCGGCGGCGGGCGACUCGCCGUCGGGCGCCCGAGUGCCGAGCUUCUUAUGCAGCACGUCUUUGAGGGUCGCGCUUGCAGCUCGGCCCUCGGGGGGGCCGGCGUCCGGGCCGCGGAGGAGGAGGAGGAGGAGGAGGAAGCCGUCCUCCCGGUCGUCGCCACACGCCGACUCGGCCUCGCGCAGGGCGUCUUGCUUCUGAAGAGACUCCCUCCUCUCCGACCAGUCCUGGCGCUUUGCGACCAUCUUGGACUUGAGCUUCUCGCGGUCGAGCUCCUCGGCGGACUCCUGGCGGCCCAGCUUGCGACCGGGGGGCCUCUUCAAGCAGCCCUGCUCGACGGGUCGGACGCGGUGGCCCGUUUCCUCCACGCUCUGCAGGACGGCGUGAUCCCGCUCCCCGCGUCCCGGCUCCUCAUCCUGCGCCUCCUCUUGGGUCACCUCCAGGCUGUGCUUCCUGGGACACAGGUGCUUCUUCUCGCCCGCGUAAGAUGGCGACAGCUUCUCCUCGGACUGGACGCGCUUCAGGAGAGGCGAGCGGGGGGGCUCGGCGCUUUUGGGGCGCGCGAUGUGGCGCGCGAUGGUGGGCGGGGAAUGUAUCUUGGCCGGGAAGGCCUGGCUGGUCUUGGAAAUGGGAUGGGCGCCGAAGAGGGGAGAGGGGGAGCGCUGAGGAGACGUCGGCUGCGGGGUGGGCGACGGCGUGCGAGCCAAUGGGGAAAGGGGGAUACUGCCGGCGGACUUGCGGCGCCCCUGUCGGAGCCGUUGACCCGGCAGCUUGGGGCCGAGGCCGUGGAGGGUGCUGGGACGGAUGUGGCCCGAGCCGGCGGGGGAGUUCGGAGCGCUGGAGCUGGGGGAGCUGCUCUGGGACGAGUUGCCACCUGGGAGUUAAAAAACAACAACUCAUUUAACACGUAUGAAACACGUAUAAACAGCACGAUUUCUCAGACGACAUCUCCACCUGACUGGGUGAGUUCUGGUGUGUGGCGGAGGGCGGCGGGAGGGGAUCGGGGGGAGAGACUGUGGGUGGGGGGGACGCCGGGGAGACUCUCACCAGAUGACAGAGAGUGGUUGAGGGAGGAGAAACUGCGGCUGGUGUGCAGGAGAGGAGACGGCUGCAUGGCGAAGCGUCUGAAGAGGGAGCGGCGCCUGGGAGACGAAGGAGAGGAGAUCAGUCAAGAAGGUCUCGACAUGGAAGAUUUAAACCAAACCUUCUGGAUGCAAUUUGGAAAAAGAAAACAUUUCGCGUCGCACCUUUCUGGGGUCUUCUCCUUCUUGGGCUUUUUGGCACAUCUCACCAUCUUGCUCCGGUAGCUGUUCCUUCUGGCCGGACCCAUUUUUAUCGAAGUGUUUUCGAACGGCGUUGUGGAGAUGGCCACUUUGCUACCGCUCUGAAAGCACACGAAGGCAGGACGUCAGAAGACAUUUGUUAUGGGAUUCGGUUUAAGAACAAGCGUAUGUCGUGGUUUACCUUCAGCAGGAGCUCCACCACCUCCGUGUGGACCAGACCGUGCACCGGUUCUCCGUUCACGUGAGUGAUCAGGUCUCCAGCUUUCAGUCCUGCCUUAUGGGCAGGCCCGCCGUCCUCCACAUUCUGAUUGACGGACACACAGGACGCAUUUUACAUUAGCAUCUAUUUUGCUUUUUCAGGAAGUUUAAAAAAGGUCUGUCGAUCACGAGCGAACGAGCAAAAGUUCGGGACACAAAGUGCUGCAGGAAUGAGAGGAUCCCUGGUGAGUCCCAGCUGGCUGAUGAUGUAACGGGGGAUGUCCGUCUUGAUGCCCUGGCCCUCUUUGGCGUGUCCUUCGGCGGCCUCCAAGAGGUGGUAAAACUCUUCCGGGUCGAACUCCUGGAGACACGCGAACAACGUCAGUCUCAACGCGCAGCGCGACGGCUCG